Transfer RNA from Felis catus (domestic cat), 85 nucleotides. It matches the Rfam family "tRNA". Rfam says of the family: Transfer RNA (tRNA) molecules are approximately 80 nucleotides in length. Their secondary structure includes four short double-helical elements and three loops (D, anti-codon, and T loops). NCBI's taxonomy places the organism in Eukaryota, Metazoa, Chordata, Mammalia, Carnivora, Felidae. The record is from Rfam.
GCCUGGGUGGCUCAGUCGGUUGAGCGUCCGACUUCAGCUCAAGUCAUGAUCUCGCGGUUCGUGGGUUCGAGCCCCGCAUCGGGCU